This 632-nucleotide long non-coding RNA is filed under the name Setaria viridis. RNAcentral describes it as "long non-coding RNA (SVIR_LNC006779)". The record is from RNAcentral. Lineage: Eukaryota; Viridiplantae; Streptophyta; Magnoliopsida; Poales; Poaceae.
CGCGAUACUACAGGGAAAAUACCACAUUACCUUAGUAGGAACUUUCUUCUUGCUGGACUGCCCCUCAACAUCACCAGGGUCAUCUUGUUUGAUCUUAUAACGCAGCGCAUCGUACACAGGACAAGCCUCCAAUUUCUCAUAUUCCGCACCGCGAUAAAGGACACAGUCAUUAGGGCAUGCAUGUAUCUUUUGUACCUCAAAACCUAGAGGGCAAACAACCUUUUUAUCUUGGUACGUUGAGGAUGGCAAUUUGUUCCCCUCGGGAAGCAUGUUCUUUAUGAUUUUCAAUAACUCAUCAAAACCAUUAUCAAAAACUCCAUUUGUUUCCUUUCAUUGUAGCAUUUUCAGUGUGGUGCCCAACUUUUUGUGCCCCUUGUUUACAAUCUGGGUAUAACAAUUUCUUAUGAUCAUCUAACAUACACUUGAACUUCUUUGACUCCUUCACAAUCUCACAGUCUUCCUUCGCAUCUCGCAACACCUGACCUAGGUCAUCAGUAGGACCUUCUUCUAACACCAUCUCUUCUUCAACCUCGCCCAUUGCAGCAUCUGCAAAGGCACCUCCUUGAGUCCAGUCAAGAAUGUAGUUAUCAUCUUCUUCUUCAUCAUCAUCUUCCAUCAUAACUCCUCUUUCC